RNAcentral lists this ribosomal RNA (872 nucleotides) under uncultured organism. RNAcentral describes it as "bacterial SSU rRNA". It matches the Rfam family "Bacterial small subunit ribosomal RNA", at positions 562 to 1437 of the family's 1533-position model. The record is from RNAcentral.
AAAGGGUGCGUAGGCGGAAGGAUAAGUCAGUGGUGAAAUCUUGCGGCUUAACCGUAAAAUGGCCAUUGAUACUGUUUUUCUUGAGUGUGGUUGAGGUAGGCGGAAUGAGUAAUGUAGCGGUGAAAUGCUUAGAUAUUACUCAGAACACCGAUUGCGUAGGCAGCUUACUAAGCCAUUACUGACGCUGAUGCACGAAAGCGUGGGUAGCAAACAGGAUUAGAUACCCUGGUAGUCCACGCAGUAAACGUUGAUUACUCGUUGUUGGCAAUACAUCGUCAGCGACUGAGCAAAAGCAUUAAGUAAUCCACCUGGGGAGUACGUCAGCAAUGAUGAAACUCAAAGGAAUUGACGGGGGCCCGCACAAGCGGAGGAACAUGUGGUUUAAUUCGAUGAUACGCGAGGAACCUUACCUGGGCUUAAAUGUUAAGUGCUAUACCGGGAGACCGGUUUUUCCUUCGGGACACUUUACAAGGUGCUGCAUGGUUGUCGUCAGCUCGUGCCGUGAGGUGUCGGGUUAAGUCCCAUAACGAGCGCAACCCCUAUUGCCAGUUGCCAGCACAUCAUGGUGGGAACUCUGGUAAAACUGCCGGUGCAAACCGCGAGGAAGGUGGGGAUGACGUCAAAUCAGCACGGCCCUUAUGUCCAGGGCUACACACGUGUUACAAUGGUCGGUACAACAGGAAGCUAUUCCGCGAGGAACCGCUAAUCCCGAAAGCCGAUCUUAGUUCGGAUCGGAGUCUGCAAUUCGACUCCGUGAAGCUGGAUUCGCUAGUAAUCGCAGAUCAGCCAUGCUGCGGUGAAUAUGUUCCCGGGCAUUGUACACACCGCCCGUCAAGCCAUGGAAGCCGGGGGUGCCUGAAGUCCGUAACCGA